CUACGGGUGGCUGCAGUGGGGAAUUUUGCGCAAUGGGGGAAACCCUGACGCAGCAAUACCGCGUGAGUGAAGAAGGCCUUUGGGUCGUAAAGCUCUUUUAUAAGGGAAGAUAGUGACGGUACCUUAUGAAUAAGCACCGGCUAACUCCGUGCCAGCAGCCGCGGUAAUACGGAGGGUGCAAGCGUUGUUCGGAUUUACUGGGCGUAAAGGGCGCGUAGGCGGCAUAGUAAGUUAAGGGUGAAAUCCCGGGGCUCAACUCCGGAACUGCUCUUAAAACUGCUAAGCUAGAGAUAGUUAGAGGCAGGUGGAAUUCCUAGUGUAGAGGUGAAAUUCGUAGAUAUUAGGAGGAACACCGGUGGCGAAGGCGGCCUGCUGGAGCUAUUCUGACGCUAAGGCGCGAAAGCGUGGGGAGCAAACGGGAUUAGAUACCCCAGUAGUC
Molecule: ribosomal RNA, 439 nt
Filed under: uncultured bacterium
Lineage: Bacteria
Description: partial 16S ribosomal RNA
Rfam family: Bacterial small subunit ribosomal RNA
Source: RNAcentral